This 276-nucleotide ribosomal RNA is filed under the name uncultured bacterium. Its description in RNAcentral is "partial 16S ribosomal RNA". It matches the Rfam family "Bacterial small subunit ribosomal RNA", at positions 29 to 333 of the family's 1533-position model. The record is from RNAcentral.
AAUGAACGCUGGCGGCAUGCCUAACACAUGCAAGUCGAACGAGACCUUCGGUCGUAGUGGCGCACGGGUGCGUAACGCGUGGGAAUCUGCCCUUGGGUUCGGAAUAACAGUUAGAAAUGACUGCUAAUACCGAAUGAUGUCGUAAGACCAAAGAUUCAUCGCCCAGGGAUGAGCCCGCGUAGGAUUAGCUAGUUGGUGUGGUAAAAGCGCACCAAGGCGACGAUCCAGUCUGGUCUGAGAGGAUGAUCAGCCACACUGGGACUGAGACACGGCCCA